UGGACGAAUCCGGCAGGGAGGUGGACGAAUCCGGCAGGAAGGAGGGAGCAGCGGCGAGCUAGCACGGCGGGGAUCCCUCCGCGGCGGACGACGAGGCCGGGAGAAGCAGAGAGGAGGGGACGGGAGGCCGGCGGCGGAGUUCGUGCUGUCGGCGACGGGAGGACUGCGUGCCACUUCGAGGACGGCGGGGACGGGAGGAUGGCGACGGAGGGAGAAGGUCUUCGCCGCCAGGAGGUGCGCCGCUCGCCGGCGGGAGGAGUAGACGAGGCGGCGGCGGCGGGAGGAGGAACCCUAGGAG
Molecule: long non-coding RNA, 298 nt
Filed under: Hordeum vulgare
Lineage: Eukaryota; Viridiplantae; Streptophyta; Magnoliopsida; Poales; Poaceae
Description: long non-coding RNA (HVUL_LNC016520)
Source: RNAcentral